RNAcentral lists this long non-coding RNA (451 nucleotides) under Homo sapiens (human). Its description in RNAcentral is "HSALNT0292864". Lineage: Eukaryota; Metazoa; Chordata; Mammalia; Primates; Hominidae. The record is from RNAcentral.
CUCACAAACAUUAUGAUGAUGGAGACUCAUGAGGGGGCCUUGUGCUCUGGACUGCUAGUGUGUGCCACAGCCUCCUUUCUCAUCACUUUACCAAAAGAUGUGAUUUGAAAAACAUAUGAAAAUAUUGCCACUGAACUCCCACACCAAUUCCUGAAGAGCUACUGAGGAUUUUGGUGUCACUUUAGAAGUCACUCUAUUUGUGAAUAGCCCAGCAAGAGAAUCAGGUCAAGCUAUUAGGGAGAGUCUAUGGAAAGCAAUGGAAUCAAAUUUCCAGCCAGAAUUUCAGGGUAAAAUUAGAAGUCUUCAAGAAGUAAACUAUGAGCCAACCAGCAUCCCUACUUGGACACUGCUCCAGCUGCCUGAAUGACGUAACUAACAUUUAGAGAUAACAGUGAAUAGAAAGACACACACGACACCAUCUGAAUCACAGUAAAGAGAUGGGUGGACCUGG